Molecule: ribosomal RNA, 381 nt
Filed under: uncultured archaeon
Lineage: Archaea
Description: bacterial SSU rRNA
Rfam family: Archaeal small subunit ribosomal RNA
Source: RNAcentral
UAAUACCCGCUCCGCGAGUGGUAGGGACGAUUAUUGGGCUUAAAGCAUCCGUAGCCGGUUCGGUAAGUCCCUCGUUAAAUCCGGCGGCUCAACCGCUGGGCCGCGAGGGAUACUACCGGACUAGGGGGCGGGAGAGGCCGGCGGUAUUCCCGGGGUAAGGGUGAAAUCUAAUAAUCCCGGGAGGACCAACAGUGGCGAAGGCGGCCGGCUAGAACGCGCCCGACGGUGAGGGAUGAAAGCUGGGGGAGCGAACCGGAUUAGAGACCCGAGUAGUCCCAGCCGUAAACGAUGCGGACUAAAAUGUUGGGGCAGCUUAGGGCUGCCCCAGUGUUGCAGGGAAACCGCUAAGUCCGCCGCCUGGGAAGUACGGCCGCAAGGCUG